Molecule: ribosomal RNA, 246 nt
Filed under: uncultured bacterium
Lineage: Bacteria
Description: partial small subunit ribosomal RNA
Rfam family: Bacterial small subunit ribosomal RNA
Source: RNAcentral
AGAAUCAACGCUGGCGGCGUGCCUAACACAUGCAAGUCGAACGAGAAAGUGGAGCAAUCCAUGAGUAAAGUGGCGCACGGGUGAGUAACACGUGACUAACCCACCCUUGAGUGGGGGAUAACCUAGGGAAACCUGGGCUAAUACCGCAUAAUACCUUCGGGUCAAAGGAGCAAUUCGCUUAAGGAGGGGGUCGCGGCCGAUUAGUUAGUUGGCGGGGUAAUGGCCCACCAAGACUGUGAUCGGUAU